AAGGGAUUGACAGAGAAGUUCUGCCUAGCCACCAACUGUUACAAAGAGUCCAUGCCAGCACUGGCAAUGCCGCACACGUUCAUGGACAGUAAGCCCAAGCAGCCUGGUCUAGCCCGAGAUUAUCCUGCCAUCCACGUAGCUUCAAUGAAACCAAAGCGAUCA
Long non-coding RNA from Sander lucioperca (pikeperch), 162 nucleotides. RefSeq lists it as uncharacterized. The record is from RefSeq and is a predicted model, not a curated record. The transcript is spliced from 3 exons. NCBI's taxonomy places the organism in Eukaryota, Metazoa, Chordata, Actinopteri, Perciformes, Percidae.